GUGCUCGCUUCAGCAGCACAUAUGCUAAAAUUGGAAAGAUACAAAGGAGAUUAGCAUGGUCCCUGUGCAAGGAUGACUCACAAAUUUGUGAAGCAUUACAUAUUUAA
This is a small nuclear RNA of Psammomys obesus (fat sand rat), 107 nucleotides long. The record is from RefSeq and is a predicted model, not a curated record. Lineage: Eukaryota; Metazoa; Chordata; Mammalia; Rodentia; Muridae.